RNAcentral lists this long non-coding RNA (1231 nucleotides) under Helianthus annuus (common sunflower). RNAcentral's name for it is "hypothetical non coding rna". Lineage: Eukaryota; Viridiplantae; Streptophyta; Magnoliopsida; Asterales; Asteraceae. The record is from RNAcentral.
AAAAAUCUUCACACAUACUUUUCUUGUUUCUCUGUAUUAGUUUGUUCGAAGUUUGUUGAACACGGUUGUAGCCUUGUUACAAUCUCUCAUUUGUAUCGUUGAGAGAUUGCAGUAUUUUGUGUCGAUUGAUCAUCAGUUGAUGAUCAUUGCUGUAUUGUUGUAUUUGUAUUGUGUGAGAUCUAGGGUUUCUGGGGGGUAAUCACUUUUGGGUUGGUUAAAUAAGAUUUUCGUCACGUUUUUUUCGCUAUUUCUUGUAUUGUUUGUUGUUUCAUCAGUAGUUCAUAGAUCUGUACCAUUUUUUACAUGGUAUCAGAGCUUGAUAGCUUCUGAUUUGUUUGUUUAUUGUUAUCCGCUGCGUUAUUUCUGAUCGCUUUGUAUUUUGUGUUAGGGUUUCUGUUCUUGGAAACUGUGCUUGACGUCUGGUCUUCAGAUCUGGUGUCACGAGUGGCGUUUGUGUUGUUAUUGGACGAAACCCUAAACUUAGGGUUUGGUAUCUUCUGUGUUUCUUCUCGGAUCUGACUUCUGCGUUAGUCUCUGAAACCAGGGCAAACUAACCUGAAGUGUCUUGGUGGUUUUCUGUAUCGGAUUUUGUAGUUCUUGAAAACUACAGAUCUGAUAUUUGUUGAAGAUUUGCACCCGCUGUUUUAAAAAAAGGGUUGGCCAGGUUGGGAAGAACGUGUCAUCCAACAAUAAAUCAAACUUGUCUUCUGGUUCUUCUAUGUCUCCUUUUUCUUCUGAGCAGAUCGCAAAACUCUUAAGUCUUGUGGGUGAGAAAACUGGGUCUGAUCCUCAGAGUUCCAAUAUGGGGGUUAAAUAAGUCCAGGGCUCGAUGUGGAAGUUUCAAGGGUACUAUGUGAAAAAUAUGAGGGUUGCGAUCAUUUUUCUAUAUUCUCUGGGGGGUCUAAGUGAAACAUGCAAUGUGCAGAGAUAUAAAAUGGUAGUUGGCUGAUCAUUAAGUCAUUCUCCCCAAAAAUCUUCACACAUACUUUUCUUGUUUCUCUGUAUUAGUUUGUUCGAAGUUUGUUGAACACGGUUGUAGCCUUGCUACAAUCUCUCAUUUGUAUCGUUGAGAGAUUGCAGUAUUUUGUGUCGAUUGAUCAUCAGUUGAUGAUCAUCGCUGUAUUGUUGUAUUUGUAGGGUUUCUGGGGGGGGGGGGGGUAAUCACUUUUGGGUUGGUUAAAUAAGAUUUUCGUCACGUUUUUUCGCUAAAAAAAAAAAAAAAAAAAAAAAA